This 475-nucleotide ribosomal RNA is filed under the name uncultured eukaryote. Its description in RNAcentral is "bacterial SSU rRNA". It matches the Rfam family "Eukaryotic small subunit ribosomal RNA", at positions 87 to 549 of the family's 1831-position model. The record is from RNAcentral.
CUGCGAAAGGCUCAAUAGAUCAGUGAGAAUUGGAUUGAGGAUGGAAACUAGAUGGAUAACCGUGGUAAUUCUAGAGCUAAUACAUGGGGAAGGGGCGACUCGCUGGCAUUGCUUGCAGUGCGGGGGGAAGCCCGGCAUUUAUUAGAUAACACCGGAGCACGCGCGAGCGUGCGGGAGGAUUCAUGAUAAUUGGCGGAUCGUAUGGCGUGAGCUGACGACGGAUCAAACAAAUGACUGCCCUAUCAGCUGUGGAUGGUAGGAUAGAGGCCUACCAUGGCGAUGACGGGUAACGGAGAAUUGGGGUUCGAUUCCGGAGAGGGAGCCUGAGAAAUGGCUGCCACAUCCAAGGAAGGCAGCAGGCGCGCAAAUUACCCAAUCCCGAGUCGGGGAGGUAGUGACAGAAAAUAACAAUGCUGGGCCUUGUGGUUUGGCAAUUGGAAUGGACUGAGAGUAAAGAGCUCGGUGAGAAACGAUU